Molecule: ribosomal RNA, 301 nt
Filed under: uncultured bacterium
Lineage: Bacteria
Description: partial 16S ribosomal RNA
Rfam family: Bacterial small subunit ribosomal RNA
Source: RNAcentral
CAGUAGCCGCGGUAAUACGAGGGGUGCAAGCGUUAUUCGGAUUGAUUGGGUGUAAAGGGUGUGCAGACGGCUUAUUAAGUCACUUGUUAAAUUCUUCGACCUAACUGAAGGUCUGCAAGUGAUACUGAUGAGCUAGAGGGUGGAAGAGAGAAGUGGAAUUCUCGGAGUAGCGGUAAAAUGCGUAGAUCUCGAGAGGAACACCAAUGGCGAAGGCAGCUUCUUGGUCCAUUCCUGACGUUCAUACACGAAAGCGUGGGGAGCAAACAGGAUUAGAUACCCCCGUAGUCCCUGUCUCUUAUAA